AUUGAACGCUGGCGGCAUGCCUUACACAUGCAAGUCGAACGGGAACGGGCCUUCGGGUGCCGCCGAGUGGCGAACGGGUGAGUAAUACAUCGGAACGUGCCCGAUCGUGGGGGAUAACGAGGCGAAAGCUUUGCUAAUACCGCAUACGAUCUACGGAUGCAAGCAGGGGACCGCAAGGCCUUGCGCGGACGGAGCGGCCGAUGGCAGAUUAGGUAGUUGGUGGGAUAAAAGCUUACCAAGCCGACGAUCUGUAGCUGGUCUGAGAGGAUGAUCAGCCACACUGUGACUGAGACACGGCCCAGACUCCUACGGGAGGCAGCAGUGGGGAAUUUUGGACAAUGGGCGCAAGCCUGAUCCAGCCAUGCCGCGUGCAGGAUGAAGGCCUUCUGGUUGUAAACUGCUUUUGUACGGAACGAAAAGCCUUCUUUUAAUACAGGAGGGUCAUGACGGUACCGUAAGAAUAAGCACCGGCUAACUACGUG
This 482-nucleotide ribosomal RNA is filed under the name uncultured bacterium. RNAcentral describes it as "partial 16S ribosomal RNA". It matches the Rfam family "Bacterial small subunit ribosomal RNA", at positions 30 to 507 of the family's 1533-position model. The record is from RNAcentral.